GAAAUGUGAUAAGUAAUGUGAAUUGCAGAAUUCCGUGAAUCAUCGAAUCUUUGAACGCACAUUGCGCCCUCUGGUAUUCCGGGGGGCAUGCCUGUCCGAGCGUCAUUGCACACCCUCAAGCGCGGCUUGUGUGUUGGGCCCUCGCGUCCUUGCCUCUUAAAAGGACGGGCCCGAAAGGCAGUGGCGGCACCAUGUCUGGUCCUCGAGCGUAUGGGGCUUUGUCACCCGCUCCCGUAGGUCCAGCUGGCAGCUAGCCUCGCAACCAAUCUUUUUAACCAGGUUGACCUCGGAUCAGGUAGGGAUACCCGCUGAACUUAAGC
Molecule: unclassified non-coding RNA, 320 nt
Filed under: plant metagenome
Description: partial contains 5.8S ribosomal RNA, internal transcribed spacer 2, and large subunit ribosomal RNA
Rfam family: 5.8S ribosomal RNA (bases 1-105)
Source: RNAcentral